CCUACGGGAGGCAGCAGUGAGGAAUAUUGCGCAAUGGGGGAAACCCUGACGCAGCGACGCCGCGUGAGUGAGGAAGGCCUUCGGGUCGUAAAGCUCUGUCAAGAGGAAAGAAGUGUACAAUGGCUAAUACCUGUUGUAUUUGACGGUACCUCUAAAGGAAGCACCGGCUAACUCCGUGCCAGCAGCCGCGGUAAUACGGAGGGUGCAAGCGUUGUUCGGAAUCACUGGGCGUAAAGGGCGCGUAGGCGGCUUGGUAAGUCAGAUGUGAAAUCCCUCGGCUCAACCGAGGAACUGCGUUUGAAACUACCGUGCUCGAGUAAGACAGAGGUAAGCGGAACUUCGGGUGGAGCGGUGAAAUGCGUUGAUAUCCGAAGGAACACCGGUGGCGAAAGCGGCUUACUGGGUCUUUACUGACGCUGAUGCACGAAAGCUAGGGGAGCAAACGGGAUUAGAUACCCUUGU
RNAcentral lists this ribosomal RNA (462 nucleotides) under uncultured Desulfobulbus sp. RNAcentral describes it as "bacterial SSU rRNA". It matches the Rfam family "Bacterial small subunit ribosomal RNA", at positions 338 to 791 of the family's 1533-position model. Lineage: Bacteria; Pseudomonadati; Thermodesulfobacteriota; Desulfobulbia; Desulfobulbales; Desulfobulbaceae. The record is from RNAcentral.